GCCGGGCAUGGUGGCGCAUGCCUGUAGUCCCAGCUACUCAGGAGGCUGAGGCAGGAGAAUCGCUUGAACCAGGGAGGUGGAGGUUGUGGUGAGCCAAGAUCAGGCCACUGCCCUCCAGCCUGGGCAACAGAGCGAGACUCUGUCUCCA
Unclassified non-coding RNA from Macaca mulatta (Rhesus monkey), 148 nucleotides. It matches the Rfam family "Metazoan signal recognition particle RNA". Rfam says of the family: The signal recognition particle (SRP) is a universally conserved ribonucleoprotein. It is involved in the co-translational targeting of proteins to membranes. The eukaryotic SRP consists of a 300-nucleotide 7S RNA and six proteins: SRPs 72, 68, 54, 19, 14, and 9. NCBI's taxonomy places the organism in Eukaryota, Metazoa, Chordata, Mammalia, Primates, Cercopithecidae. The record is from Ensembl.